AUUAGCUUAAUUAAUUCCAUUCGUUCUGCAAGAUAUUAAUUGCUUUGCAAAUUUGUCUCAGAUACAGAGGACCUUGAAGAGCUGUUCAGGCCGAGGAGUACAGAUCCACGGCAAAAUACCAGAUCAGACAAUUAUCAGAGAAAGGUUCUGAUUAAGACAGUAGUGAGACCAGCUGUGAUGUAUGGAUUGGAGACCGUACCCUUAACGAAGAGACAGGAGGCAAAGUUGGAGGUGGCGGAGUUGAGGAUGUUAAGGUUUGCGACGGGAGUGACGAGGUUGGACAGGAUAAGGAACGAGCACAUCAGAGGGACAGCACAUGUGGAGAGCUUGGGAAUUAAGCUAAGAGAGAUGAGACUAAGAUGGUAUGGGCACAUCCUGAGAAGAGAUGCAGAGCAUGUGGGAAGGAGAAUGCUGAGGAUGGAGCUGCCAGGCAAACGAAAACAAGGAAGGCCAAAGAGGAGAUACAUGGAUGUGAUGAGAGAGGACAUGAAAGUGGCAGGUGUGGUAGAGAAGGAUGCGGAAGAUAGGGAGCAAUGGAGAUGAAAGAUCUGCUGUGGCGACCCCUAAUCGGGAGCAGCCAAAAGAAGAAGAAGAAUCAGAGAAAGGUUCUGAUGUGCCUAGAUGAAAUUGUGCAGAAUUAUCUGUAGGCUCGCGCUGCUGUGGCUGCAGCAACUAAGGAGACAACGACUGUACCAACCCACCAUUCAUCUGAUUCGGGAACCAGAGACAGCUGUUAGCUCUUUCACUGCUAGAAUUUCUAGGAUUGAAUACUGGUUCACCAUUAAAUAUUUUCUAGAGCCAGAACAAAAAUAAUGGUUGGCAUGUGUGUAAAUAUUGCAGUCAGUCUCUGUAGGUUUUUAUGCCAUUUUAGUGUAAUGUAAUAUCUGACCAGCGGCCAUCAUAAAAGUGCAGAAUAAUACCUUUAAGUUCCUUUGCAUAUUCAUGAUUACAUUUGAUUCAGGUAAUGCAUGUAUUAAUCUUCUAUUUCAUCCUGUGAAA
Molecule: long non-coding RNA, 999 nt
Organism: Neoarius graeffei (lesser salmon catfish)
Lineage: Eukaryota; Metazoa; Chordata; Actinopteri; Siluriformes; Ariidae
Exons: 3
Source: RefSeq, a predicted model, not a curated record